Non-coding RNA from Geobacillus genomosp. 3, 61 nucleotides. NCBI's taxonomy places the organism in Bacteria, Bacillati, Bacillota, Bacilli, Caryophanales, Anoxybacillaceae. The record is from Rfam.
UCUUCGGAGCGUCAACGAAACGAGAGUAGCUUCGGCGAAAUCGGACGCGAUGAGCAAGGAA